UACGGGGGGGGCAAGCGUUGUUCGGAAUUACUGGGCGUAAAGGGCUCGUAGGCGGCCAACUAAGUCGGAUGUGAAAUCCCCAGGCUCAACUUGGGAACUGCAUCCGAUACUGGAUAGCUUGAAUUCGGGAGAGGGAUGCAGAAUUCCAGGUGUAGCGGUGAAAUGCGUAGAGAUGUGGAGGAAUACCGAUGGCGAAGGCAGCCCCCUGGGAUAACACUGACGCUCAUGCACGAAAGCGUGGGGAGCAAACAGG
Molecule: ribosomal RNA, 253 nt
Filed under: uncultured bacterium
Lineage: Bacteria
Description: partial 16S ribosomal RNA
Rfam family: Bacterial small subunit ribosomal RNA
Source: RNAcentral